This 405-nucleotide ribosomal RNA is filed under the name uncultured Planktothrix sp. RNAcentral's name for it is "bacterial SSU rRNA". It matches the Rfam family "Bacterial small subunit ribosomal RNA", at positions 212 to 632 of the family's 1533-position model. Lineage: Bacteria; Bacillati; Cyanobacteriota; Cyanophyceae; Oscillatoriales; Microcoleaceae. The record is from RNAcentral.
AAUUCGCCUGGAGAUGAGCUUGCGGCUGAUUAGCUAGUUGGUAGGGUAAGAGCCUACCAAGGCGACGAUCAGUAGCUGGUCUGAGAGGAUGAGCAGCCACACUGGGACUGAGACACGGCCCAGACUCCUACGGGAGGCAGCAGUGGGGAAUUUUCCGCAAUGGGCGAAAGCCUGACGGAGCAAGACCGCGUGGGGGAGGAAGGUUCUUGGAUUGUCAACCCCUUUUCUCAAGGAAGAAGUUCUGACGGUACCUGAGGAAUCAGCAUCGGCUAACUCCGUGCCAGCAGCCGCGGUAAUACGGAGGAUGCAAGCGUUAUCCGGAAUGAUUGGGCGUAAAGAGUCCGUAGGUGGCGAGUCAAGUCGAUUGUCAAAGCGCGAGGCUUAACUUCGUGAAGGCAGUGGAAA